Molecule: transfer RNA, 62 nt
Filed under: Staphylococcus aureus
Lineage: Bacteria; Bacillati; Bacillota; Bacilli; Caryophanales; Staphylococcaceae
Also listed under: 16 other names
Rfam family: tRNA
About the family: Transfer RNA (tRNA) molecules are approximately 80 nucleotides in length. Their secondary structure includes four short double-helical elements and three loops (D, anti-codon, and T loops).
Source: RNAcentral
AUUAGCUCAGUUGGUAGAGCAUCUGACUUUUAAUCAGAGGGUCAGAGGUUCGAAUCCUCUAU